This 175-nucleotide non-coding RNA is filed under the name Virgibacillus sp. SK37. Lineage: Bacteria; Bacillati; Bacillota; Bacilli; Caryophanales; Bacillaceae. RNAcentral also lists the same sequence under 1 other name. The record is from RNAcentral.
UAGUGAAUGAGAGCAGUAGGUGCCCAUAUGGGAGAAUAGGGAAUGAAGUGAGAAUCUUCAGCGGACCCGCCACUGUGAAGGGGGUUCUAUUAGAAAUACCACUGGAAGUUAUUCUGGGAAGGUUAAUAGAACGACACCCCUGAGCCAGGAGACCUGCCUUUUGCUUCUAGUUAUA